GGAGUUAGCCGGUGCUUCUUCUGUGAGUGAUGUCCUUCCUGCCGGUUAUUGACCCGCAGGCCUUCUUCCUCACUGAAAGUGCUUUACAACCCGAAGGCCUUCUUCACACACGCGGCAUGGCUGGAUCAGGGUUGCCCCCAUUGUCCAAUAUUCCCCACUGCUGCCUCCCGUAGGAGUCUGGGCCGUGUCUCAGUCCCAGUGUGGCUGAUCAUCCUCUCAGACCAGCUACGGAUCGUCGCCUUGGUGAGCCGUUACCUCACCAACCAGCUAAUCCGACAUAGGCUCAUCCGAUAGCGCGAGGACCGAAGGUCCCCCGCUUUCCCCCGUAGGGCGUAUGCGGUAUUAGCCUGGGUUUCCCCAGGUUAUCCCCCACUACCGGGCAGAUUCCUAUGCAUUACUCACCCGUCCGCCGCUCGCCACCAGGGAGCAAGCUCCCCGUGCUGCCGCUCGACUUGCAUGUGUUAGGCCUGCCGCCAGCGUUCAAUCUAAGCCAUGAUCAAACUCUGA
This 507-nucleotide ribosomal RNA is filed under the name uncultured bacterium. RNAcentral's name for it is "partial 16S ribosomal RNA". The record is from RNAcentral.